RNAcentral lists this small RNA (1604 nucleotides) under Drosophila pseudoobscura pseudoobscura. Its description in RNAcentral is "GA31375". Lineage: Eukaryota; Metazoa; Arthropoda; Insecta; Diptera; Drosophilidae. The record is from RNAcentral.
GCGCCUUCGGACCAGAGCCACACAGAGUAGUGUGCAGUGAGCUGGCUAACGGUUUGGCUGCAAGAUAUUCACACCUCCAGUUUCCCCGUGGCAUUCAGAUUACGAUUACCGAUAGCUGUUGCCAGUAGCUGUGGCAGUAGCUGCUACCAGUUCCAGCAUCGAGUGCCAGCUAACUCCAUCGUGUACGCCUGUUUGGGGGACCAACUGCAUUGCCACUACGAUUACGUAUAUAGUAUAUAUUUAUGUAUAUUCUGAUAUAUGCGAAAAUGAAUAGCUAUAGUUUGGUUAAUUGCUUGCAGAAAUGUUAACACUUGUUUGGCUUUCGAUCAAAUUGCAACUACAAUGAACAAUAACAAUAAAAUGCUACACGCUACAUAAAUUUCAAUUUCGAAUACGAGUAUGUAAUAUAUUGGAUUCCAAUGCUGAAUCUACCCGAAAGUUUUGAUUAAACUAGUUUUUAAUUUGUAGUAUAUAUUGGUCCAAGGGUUUUUGAUUAUUCAUUUGAUUUGUAUGUAAUUUUUGUUUGCUUUGAUAUUUGAUUAAGUUUUAAGUUUUAUUUUCUGAAAGUUUCCAUUCUUCAUGAUCUUGAAGUACAUAUUUUUAUUCAAUUACUACUCCAGUUUCCUUCACUAUCCAAAAAAUUCUCCCUUCUAAGUUUCCUUUAUUUCUUUAAAUUUGUCUUCAAUUCCUAUAUUUCUUCUACAUUCUCAUCCAUAAAAUUCAUACGUUUCUAAUCGUUUUCUCUUCGUUAAUGAUCUAAAAAUGUAUAAUCUUCUUGUUGUAAAGUCAAUCUUUUCAAAUUUCAAAUAAAUGUUCCCUUUUCAUGUCAUAAAAUGUUCCCUAAACAGAAUCAGACUUUAGAGUUUGAUAUUUUCUGAAAACCAAAGAAUUCAAUUUAGAAACCAAAGCAUAAAAAUCUAGUAACCAAAGGACCAAAAAAUGAUAAAACCAAAGAGUAAUUAUUUUUCAAUUGCAUUUUAUAUUUUAUUAAUACACAAAACUUAAAUAAAAUAAUAGAAUUUAAACUCUACAUACCUACAAUACAAUACGUAAUAGUCAUAAGCAUAAUAAUAGAUAAUAAUAAUAAUAGUACACAAUAGUGAUAUUGUCGUUUACAGUUAUUGUACAAUGUAAGAAAUUCUAUUCCGUUUUCCGUUUUCUUUUGUUCUUCUAAACAUUUUCCUGUUUCUUUUGUUGUUUUCCAUACUGUUCUAUUGUUAAGAUUUCUUUAAGAUAUUCUCUCUGUAAAAAUGAAAUGUUGCUGCUUUCGAAUACCGGGAAUACUAUAUCGUGUGUAUAUAUAUAGUCUAGGUAAAUAUUUAGAGAGAGAGUGAAAAAAGGUAUAAUAUAAUACAAAAAAAAAAAAACAAUUGUGUGUGUGUGUCUGAGUAUAUAAGCGCUUUUCCGUGUGAUAGAUCUGAACUUUGCUUUCACUUCACUGAAAUUCGCUUUGCUUGGCUUUGUUUUCACAUCACUUAAAAGUCUAACGAUUUUUUGGUCCAAUAAUAGUUGCGGUGAUACAGGGGGUGUGGUUAUGGGAGGGGGAAGGUACUGGGUUUUCUGGGUGAUCAAAAAAAUAAAUAUGCUUUUCUUGGAAGAAACAA